UAAUUAGCGCCAGGGUAUUACGAGCUUAAGCUUAAAACCCAAAGGACUUGACGGUGUCCCACCCACCUAGAGGAGCCUGUUCUAUAAUCGAUACUCCCCGCUUCACCUCACCAUUUUUAGCCUCUCAGCCUGUAUACCUCCGUCGCAAGCUUACCUUGUGAACGCUCUUAGUAAGCUUAAAGGUCCUACACCAACACGUCAGGUCAAGGUGCAGCUUAUGAAAUGGAAAGCAAUGGGCUACAAUUUCUAAUGUAGAACAAACGAAAGACUGCAUGAAAUACAGUCAUGAAGGCGGAUUUAGUAGUAAAAAGAAAAUAGUGUGUUCUUUUUAACUAGGCACUGGGACGCGUACACACCGCCCGUCACCCUC
Molecule: ribosomal RNA, 370 nt
Filed under: Tomopterna natalensis
Lineage: Eukaryota; Metazoa; Chordata; Amphibia; Anura; Pyxicephalidae
Description: partial 12S ribosomal RNA
Rfam family: Bacterial small subunit ribosomal RNA
Source: RNAcentral